Long non-coding RNA from Lactuca sativa (garden lettuce), 3635 nucleotides. RefSeq lists it as uncharacterized. The record is from RefSeq and is a predicted model, not a curated record. NCBI's taxonomy places the organism in Eukaryota, Viridiplantae, Streptophyta, Magnoliopsida, Asterales, Asteraceae.
UAACCCACCAACCCCCCUCACUCUUUAACAAAUUGACCCAUUGACUCCUCACACUGACCAUCACUACCUACCGGAGCUGCCAUUUUCGCCUAAGCACUGCCAUCUCUUCGUCAUUUGUUGUAAGGAGCAACACAUUCUUGUUGGAUCUAGAAAGACGAAGAAGGGUGGUUCUAGAAUUUGAUUCUGUGAAGGGUUUGUAAACAGGAGGUUGGUAAUGGUGGAGGUCUGGCGACGAAGAUCCGGAUCCAACAAAUAACACAUACCGACGAUGGCAACCCACAACAGGCGUAAUAAAUCGAAAAUCGUUUGCAGAUCUGUUGUUCAUCGGGGGGUUUCUAUAGCUCGUAGUUCAACACUGUGGUUGGAGAAGGAGAAAGACGAAGACGACAUUGUGACCUAGAUCUGUACACUGUCGUCAGAGUCGGCGUGUCAUCAUCUCCUCUACAAACUCUGUGUAGUUGCAGAACUUUGGUGGUGGUAGUGAGUAAGUGAGGUAGGGCAGGUGACUACUUGGGGGUGUUUGUAGAUCUUUGUUGGUGUUUGCAAAUCAUAUUCGUCGGAUCAUUCCAAGUCUCUGACGGUCGUCCGACAUUGAGUGGUGUUUGGGAUUGCUUUUUAGCCUAAAAAUCAUUUUCAACAAAAGGUCCUUUUGACUUAUACCUUUUUCCAGAAGGAAGUUUUAAAAUGGGGUUAGAUUAACUUUUGAAGGAGCAAAAGCUAAAAAGUCAAAAGUCACAAAAAGUUACAAAUUCCUGACUUUUAAAACCACUCAUUUUUCUUCUUGCCAAAAAGUCAUUCUAAAAGGACAUUUAGAAUUUCCAAACAAUUUUUCAAACUUCUAGCUUCUUGAAAAAACCAAAAGUCCAAAAAGUCAUUUUAAAAGUAAUCUCAAACACUCCUAAAGAUGACUGAGAUAAAAUGGAGGACAAUAUAGGUGUUAAAGAUAAGGGUCGAGUAGGUGGGGUGUUUUCUUUUUGUCUUUUUUUAAAUAGAAAUAUAUUAAAGUAAAUAACAAAAUGGAAAAAGAAAAUACCAAGUGAAAGUCUAGAUUUUAGAUACUAAAAAAAAAAAAAAAAAAAACUUAUUUUGGACUAACGAUGACCAUUUUUGCAAUUUUGUCUAUACCAAAAAGAAUAUCUUGUAUGUAUCGUUUAGAUUGUCAUCAUAAUAAAUUAAUAACAUACUUUUUUCUAAAAAAAAUCCUAAAUCUAAGCAUUUUGUUUGAAGUUCAACCUUUGGUUAAAGAUUAUGUCCAUCAAUUUAUGAUAUUGUUAGACUAAAAAGCCUUUUGGUCAUCACAAUAAUAUGAUAUUGUUAGAUCAAAAAACCUUUUGGUCAUCACAAUAAUAUAGUGAUAUUAUCUAGCAAGUUUGUCCAUCAAUUUAUGAUAUUGUUAGAUCAAAAAGCCUUUUGGUCAUCACAAUAAUAUACUGAUAUUAUCUAGCAAAUACCUUAUCAUGGACUUACUAAUUCGUGUAAGGCGAUAUUGUUUUCUUAGAGUACCGGAUAUAUUGAGUUUAGUGUUGGAUUCGUUAUUUUUUUUUUUCAAAUUAAGUCUUGCUAGAUUUUGGAUUUAAGAAUAUCAACGUAAACUUAGAUAAUUCUAAUCAUGAUUGCAAUCAUUUUUUUAAAUUUGUGAUUUCGACCAUAUAGCCUAAUAUCACGAAAUCUAAUUUGGAAUAAUCCAAGAAUGACAAUUUAAAAGUCAAGCCAGUUCCAAAUUUAAAACACAUAAAAUACUUUGUUAUUUUGCAUUUUGAGAUAUAGAUAAAUUCAGAUAAUCAAUUUUGAGUAUAAAAAGUGUUAACCAUUUCCAUAUAACAUUCAUCUUCAUCUUAUAGAAGGAAGAUGGCAGUUGGAAGUUGAUUGUACAGAAAAUGAUGCCAAAAUGGGUGGUUAUAAUGGUAGUUAUAAGACAUAACCGAUUUUUACAUCACAAUGAUGUCGCAACCUAUUUUUUACGGAAAAUGCAUGCAUGGGCUCUUUCCUUUUAUAGAAAUUCGUUUAGGUUUCGAGACGUUGUCCGUUGACCCCAUCUGGUGGUUGAAUGGUCAACGGAACCACGGCCAAGGGGUCUGCCUCUUGGACUACGCAAGGGCGCUGCUCCCAGACCUCCGUAUUCCCUGGUUCAUAUUUAUCACUUUGAAUGUACACCACGCACCUCUGGUCUUAGUGAGUAAAUAGAACUCAGUCUAUCUCAAAAUUAAAAAUAACUACCAUAACACUAAAAUCAUCAAGUCUUGUAUGGAUAAACCUUGAAUGAUAACAUGACUGAAUGGUUAAUGAUUUGUAUUUUAUAAGCAAAGCAAAGGCUGAUUCUUGAAAAAAUAUAACAUCUUAUCGAACACCAUUAACUCUAGUUUACAUUAACAUAAAAGAUGUCAUAUAAUCUAUAACAAUUAAAAAAUGAAAAAAGAAGCAGGUCCUCUUCAAACUUCAGUACUUCACCCUCAUGUGAUUACCCUCCGAUUCAAAAUCAAAAGAAGCUACGUUUAGGACGUUCCUCAGCAACAUUAACCCUAAUUGCCCUCCCAUCCAAAUUCUGCAUCGCAAAUUCAAUAAGAACAAGUUCCAAAAAUACAUUUAUAUGAUUAUAUCAUCAUAUGGGGUUAAUAUGUAGCAAUUUACAAAUUGCAAUAUACCUGUCCAUCAAGAGCAGCAAUGGCGUCGUUCAUGUCUGACUCACUUGCCAUUGUUAUAAAACCAAACCCACGUGAUUUUCCACUUUCACGAUCAUAAAUCACCCUUGCAUCGACCACUUUCCCAUGUUCAUUAAACGCCUGCUCCAGACGUUCACUAUCCACCUGCCAUGCUAGGUUACCCACGUAGAUCUUGAAAGAAGUCCCUACCACUCGUCUUUCUGGUUGUGAACCUCUUGGAGCAGCCUUAUUUACAGUAAGAGCCCUUCCACUCAAAUCCUGUUUUUGUUCAUAAAAAUGUUACAGAUUAAUGUGAAUAUGCAGUAAUUAAGAUGGAUGGAUGGAGAAGAAGAUAAAGUUUACAUAGCCAUUGAACUUCUCCACAGCUUUCUCAGCUUCUUCUACUGUGCUCAUUGUCACAAACCCAAAUCCUCUACUUUGUUCUGUAUCCCUGUUGUAUAUAACCUAAAACCAGACAUCAAAUCGGCCAUUGUAAGCACAUGCUGCAACAGACGGAAUUAAUUAAGAAAUUACUGAAAAGUAAAGGGUUCAAUCGAUUAAUACCUCGGCGAUAUCUACUACUCCGGCAGAAUUGAAGAGAUUAGCCAAUUUCUCGCUGUCAAAAUCGUAGGGUAAGUUACCGACAAAAAGCUUUGCCUCUUCAGGUGGUUCUGAAUAUGAUUCUUCUUCCUCUUCUCCUUCUUCGUUAGUUGCAUCUUCUUCGUCUACUGGUUCAGUUUCUUGUGUCAAUUGUUGUGACCAAUCUGAGGUGUUGGUCACGAAUUGGAGUGAUUUGGAAGGUGAAAUGGUGGUUUUGUGAGAGAUCCAUGAUGAAAUUCGAGAGACGUUUAUGGUUUUGAAGGGUUUAGGAUAUGGAUUUGGCCCUAAUGGGGUAGAAAUGGAAGUGUAUGUAGGUAUAAGCAAUUGGAAUGACAGAAAUGUUGUAGCGGAAGUCAUAACAAGAAGAAGGGGGGAGGAGAUGUAGGAAGAUAAGAG